GGGCUCUUGGUCUAGUUGGUUAUGACGUCGCCUUGACAUGGCGGAGGUCGCCAGUUCGAAUCUGGCAGAGCCCA
This 74-nucleotide transfer RNA is filed under the name Methanobacteriota archaeon. RNAcentral's name for it is "Euryarchaeota archaeon (soil metagenome) tRNA-Val". It matches the Rfam family "tRNA". From Rfam's summary of the family: Transfer RNA (tRNA) molecules are approximately 80 nucleotides in length. Their secondary structure includes four short double-helical elements and three loops (D, anti-codon, and T loops). Lineage: Archaea; Methanobacteriati; Methanobacteriota. The record is from RNAcentral.